This 207-nucleotide ribosomal RNA is filed under the name uncultured bacterium. Its description in RNAcentral is "partial 16S ribosomal RNA". It matches the Rfam family "Bacterial small subunit ribosomal RNA", at positions 1289 to 1500 of the family's 1533-position model. The record is from RNAcentral.
CAGUUCGGAUUGGAGUCUGCAACUCGACUCCAUGAAGCUGGAUUCGCUAGUAAUCGCGCAUCAGCCAUGGCGCGGUGAAUACGUUCCCGGGCCCUUGUACACACCGCCCGUCAAGCCAUGGGAGUCGGGAGUGCCUGAAGUUCGUGACCGUCACAGGAGCGACCUAAGGCAAAACCGGUGACUGGGGCUAAGUCGUAACAAGGUAAC